RNAcentral lists this long non-coding RNA (2288 nucleotides) under Trifolium pratense (red clover). RNAcentral describes it as "long non-coding RNA (TPRA_LNC001209)". The record is from RNAcentral. Lineage: Eukaryota; Viridiplantae; Streptophyta; Magnoliopsida; Fabales; Fabaceae.
AGGUAUCACUCAAAACAGGGCCGGGCCCAACUAUUUGGAUGGAGGCCCUGGUUGAAUAUUAAAAAUGGGCCUUCAAUGAAAAACACAAAUUUUUUAAAAAAAAGGCACUGUGGGGAUUUGAACCUGAACCAUGGACCUUACACACAAAAACAUUAUAGUCUGCCACUAAUCUAUUGAUGGACAUCUAAUAUUUUACAAACAUUGAUAAUAUACAGCUAUUAUUAUAGGGCCUUGAAAUUUUGAGGCCUGAUGCCGUGGGUGUGGGCCGGGCCUGAUUCAAAAGCAUAAGAAAUACAGCGCCAAGCUGCCAAAAUAAAUAACUAAGCGUUUGAGAGAUUAUGAGAAUAAAAUCCCCCUCUUCUCUCGGGGUAUUUCUCUUACCCUCAUUCACAUUUUUUGACAUUUUUGAAAAAGCACAUUUUUUUACAUUAAAAACAUCAAACAUUAGGGUUUUUAUUUGGGUGGGCAGGCCCAUUUUAGUCCGGUCCAAUAAAGCUCGAAUCAAUUAGGUCAAACCAAACCUGCAAUAAAUCAAAGAUUGUUGCUCCUCAAGCCCCCAAGUUACUCCCAGGUCCCCAAAAUUCCGUUUUUAUCCUUAAACUCAGUUCGGAAAUUACAUUCUGAACUUGAUGUUGCUGCGGAACGUAAUUUCAAAACCAAUUUCACAUGGACAAAUUUCAGAUUUUAGCUUCCGAACCACUCCCAUUACAUGCUCACGUGAUUUUCUCAUCCCUAUCUGUCAUAUAAUGAUGACUUUUUGGUCAAAGGUCAAAGGAAGAUAGCCACUGUUCAAAGCAAAAUCAAGUGAAAGAAAAAGAAAAUCAAANNNNNNNNNNNNNNNAUCAUGAAAUUCAUUUAAAAAAUGCAAAACAAGUGAGUCUGACAUGGAGAAGACAUUUUUGAAGCCACCGUCUCAAGGUGGUUGGGUCGUGUGUGCGUGUACCUCUUCCGGGGAGCUCCGUGGCUGCCUUCUUGCACAUUAGAGGGCGAAUAAUAAUGUAAUAAAGAAAUAAACCAAAAAUGAAAUAGCAAACCUUAAAUAAGAGGAAAAAGCUUAAGAUAAAGAAGGAGAUGCAAUUUUAAUCUCGUGAGCAUGUAAUGGUGGUGGUUCGGAAGCUUGUAAAAUAGGUAUGGAAACUACACUCCAAACCAACAUCAAGUUUGGAACAUAAUUUCUGAACUAAGUUUAAGGGUAACAACAGAAUUUUGGGGGCCUAAAGAGCAAACUUCUAAAUCAAAAGACAUGGAUCCACUGAAGCUGAGAAACUAUGUUGUAGUUAAUCUCAACUGUAGAUUUGAGAUCGGACGGUUGAAAUUAUAAAUUCAUUGAAUCAGUUACAAAUCUAAUGAUAUAAAACAUUGAAGCUUAUUUUUAUUUUUUUAUAUUUUGGAUAGAAAAAUGUUAUUAAGUUAGUAGUUAUGUUAGUUUCCAGGAUUGAGCCCACAAAAUCAUUCUUAAAACUCCUUUGGCAUCCCUUAGAAAACAAUGAAGCUUUGGUUUCUAUGGACAACUCACAUUUCAUCAACAUUACCAUCAAGUAGAAGGACACUUAUAAGGAUAAGCAUCAGGUGGCUCAACUCUUAUCUUCCAUACACCUACUUGAUAAGGACCUGCAAUAAAAGUGNNNNNNNNAAAAAAAAAAAAAAAAAAAAAAAAAAAGGAAAAUUAAUACAAGGGGUGCAAAAAAAUUACCAAUUGAUGAUAUCUCACCCCAAUUGAAAUUAGAUGAAAAAUGACUACUUAUGAUUAACAAAAAUGAAACAAAUCAACGAAUACUACCUUUGACUUUCUGUUCAUAUGCAGCACGGUCUCUCAUCAUCAAGGCAGCGGCAUCACCAUUCAAUGGAUCUGAUGCAUUGGGGUAUAUAAGAAGUUGAGGAAUAAACACUUCGAACACAUUAACAAGAUCUGAAUGAAAAUAACAAAAAUGUAAGGUAGCAACACUAACAAUCAAACAAGGUUGAAUCAAAUGCAUAGCAAGUUCAUUUUUAGUAAUUCUCUUUACCACCAAUAUAUGUAAGGUACUAUAGAUUGUUAAUAAUGCUUACCGAACAUCGGACUCAAUGUCUGGUUGAUAACAUCUAAGCAAACCGAGCCAGACCUGAAUAUCAGAGAAAAACAUUUCGAUCAGCUGUUGAGUAUAACAAUUCGUUUGCACAACAGAUAAUAGCGGUUCCAUUGAGGACAAUGGCGUUGCUUAAAUAUGAUAGAUAGAAAACAAUGAAGCUUAUUUUUUGUGAAUAGGAAAAUGUUAUUAAGUUCUAGUUAUGUUAGUUUCCAGUAUUUG